UGGUGGAGUGAUUUGUCUGGUUAAUUCCGUUAACGAACGAGACCUCCGCGUGCUAAAUAGUUCCGCUUACAAUUUUUUGUAGGUAGGGACUUCUUAGAGGGACUUUUGGGUAAUCAAACCAAAGGAAGUUGGAGGCAAUAACA
Molecule: ribosomal RNA, 143 nt
Filed under: uncultured eukaryote
Lineage: Eukaryota
Description: partial 18S ribosomal RNA
Rfam family: Eukaryotic small subunit ribosomal RNA
Source: RNAcentral